GUGCUCACUUCCACAGCACAUUUACUAAAACUAGAACAAUACAGAGAAGAUUAGCAUGACCCCUGCACAAGGAUGACACUCAAAUUUGUGAAUCGUUCUAUUAAAAA
This is a small nuclear RNA of Sciurus vulgaris (Eurasian red squirrel), 107 nucleotides long. The record is from Ensembl. NCBI's taxonomy places the organism in Eukaryota, Metazoa, Chordata, Mammalia, Rodentia, Sciuridae.